GGGAAAACCUGAAGAACUCCAAGGCUUUGAGGCCAUUGGAAUGAGCUGCAAAAAGGCGGCCAAGAACAUUCUCAACAAAGACCGUAGAGAGAGACCCCGGUGAGAGAUGCUUCAAGAGGGUGGGGUGUAACGGUUCAUCAGGAAAGCAAUUAUCGUUGAUGAUUUUGGUAAUUCUUUCAACUUCAGUCAAGCUGGAUAAUUUACAAGUAAUAAGGAAAAGAAAAUGAGGUCGCUUGCGAGUGAUUUGAAAGAGUUGAUUACAUCUGCUCAAUGUUAACAAAGAAAGCAUUAUCCUUAUUCCCUUGUGAAAUUUAGAUUGCAACUAGUCUUCCAUUUCAGGCCACAACACGUCAGCUCCUAUCUUUGAUGCUGCAAUAGAUUACUGACAGAGGAAAUAUUUGUGCAGAAGCGAUCAUUCACUGCUUCGGACAAAUCAGGGAAAAGAACAAUCAACCACAUUUUUGCAUUUUAUUCCAAAAUUGAAG
RNAcentral lists this unclassified non-coding RNA (485 nucleotides) under Hevea brasiliensis (rubber tree). The record is from RNAcentral. Lineage: Eukaryota; Viridiplantae; Streptophyta; Magnoliopsida; Malpighiales; Euphorbiaceae.